UACGAAGGGUGCAAGCGUUAAUCGGAAUUACUGGGCGUAAAGCGCGUGUAGGUGGUUCAGUAAGUUGGAAGUGAAAUCCCCGGGCUCAACCUGGGAACUGCUUUCAAAACUGCUGAGCUAGAGUACGGUAGAGGGUGGUGGAAUUUCCUGUGUAGCGGUGAAAUGCGUAGAUAUAGGAAGGAACACCAGUGGCGAAGGCGACCACCUGGACUGAUACUGACACUGAGGUGCGAAAGCGUGGGGAGCAAACAGG
Molecule: ribosomal RNA, 253 nt
Filed under: uncultured bacterium
Lineage: Bacteria
Description: partial 16S ribosomal RNA
Rfam family: Bacterial small subunit ribosomal RNA
Source: RNAcentral